Molecule: ribosomal RNA, 287 nt
Filed under: uncultured bacterium
Lineage: Bacteria
Description: partial 16S ribosomal RNA
Rfam family: Bacterial small subunit ribosomal RNA
Source: RNAcentral
UAAUACGUAGGUGGCUAGCGUUGUCCGGAUUUACUGGGCGUAAAGCGCGCGCAGGCGGUCGUUCAAGUCGAGUGUGAAAGCCCCCGGCUCAACUGGGGAGGGUCACUCGAUACUGAUCGACUUGAAGGCAGAAGAGGGAAGCGGAAUUCCCGGUGUAGUGGUGAAAUGCGUAGAUAUCGGGAGGAACACCAGUGGCGAAGGCGGCUUUCUGGUCUGUUCUUGACGCUGAGGCGCGAAAGCUAGGGUAGCAAACGGGAUUAGAUACCCCGGUAGUCCACGCUGUAAAC